GAGAAAACAACUAUUAUGACCUGUCAUAUGCUUAAACUACCUGAUUUAGCUCUAGAAGUCGUUGUUAUUUUGUAUCGCUGCAGUAUUAGUGUGGUGGAUACCCCGGGUAGUUUAGAUUUUAGUUACGCUCGCGCUGAGAUGCUGAGUAUAUUUUUACGGUAGUGUUCAGACUGUUCCGGACUGUUGGGGGCCGUCGCAGUUGACGGUGGACCCCUAUCGCCGUUUUGGCGUCAGAUUGUGCUGAGGGCACGUGACCUGUUGGUUGUUAGACUGGUUGGACCCUGUU
Molecule: long non-coding RNA, 286 nt
Filed under: Ananas comosus (pineapple)
Lineage: Eukaryota; Viridiplantae; Streptophyta; Magnoliopsida; Poales; Bromeliaceae
Description: long non-coding RNA (ACOM_LNC006916)
Source: RNAcentral